CUACGGGUGGCAGCAGUGAGGAAUAUUGCACAAUGGGGGGAACCCUGAUGCAGCAACGCCGCGUGGAGGAUGACGCAUUUCGGUGUGUAAACUCCUUUUAUAUUUCAAGAAAAUGACGGUAGCAUAUGAAUAAGCACCGGCUAACUCCGUGCCAGCAGCCUCGGUAAUACGGAGGGUGCAAGCGUUACUCGGAAUCACUGGGCGUAAAGGACGCGUAGGCGGGUUGGAAAGUCAGGUGUGAAAUCCUACAGCUUAACUGUAGAACUGCACUUGAAACUUCUAAUCUAGAGUAUGGGAGGGGGAGAUGGAAUUAGUGGUGUAGGGGUAAAAUCCGUAGAUAUCACUAGGAAUACCUAAAGCGAAGGCGAUCUCCUGGAACAUUACUGACGCUAAGGCGUGAAAGCGUGGGGAGCAAACAGGAUUAGAUACCCUAGUAGUC
RNAcentral lists this ribosomal RNA (439 nucleotides) under uncultured bacterium. RNAcentral's name for it is "partial 16S ribosomal RNA". It matches the Rfam family "Bacterial small subunit ribosomal RNA", at positions 339 to 795 of the family's 1533-position model. The record is from RNAcentral.